Molecule: non-coding RNA, 210 nt
Organism: Vicia faba (fava bean)
Lineage: Eukaryota; Viridiplantae; Streptophyta; Magnoliopsida; Fabales; Fabaceae
Source: the annotation of a GenBank genome assembly
AUGCAGAUUUGUAAAAGACAUUGGCAACUGGUUUGUUGCAUUUGUUUGUGGCAACUAAUAUGUGCAGGGCAUUUUUUGGAUGAAUUGGUUUUGGAGUUUUAUAAAUCUGGUUCAGGUUGUAUAACACAUGGAAAGCUUGGAGAAAUACUUGGGAUGGGAAGAAAGGUCAACUCAAAUCAGAGUCAUGGAGAUUAUUUGAAUCAAAGAUAA